UCCGUGCCCGUGUCCGUGCCCACGUCCCGCCUCCGCCCGGGAACAGGGUCCGGGUGCCGGCCCUGCGGCCGGGCUGCCCCAUCUCUGUCCCCGAGGGCGGUGCCUCCUCGUCCCGAGAGGCUGUGGGUAAUGGGAGAGAGGCUGUUUUCCUCGGCGGAAGAACACGGAGGGGCUCUACAACAACCGUGAGGGGAUUUACAGCAUCCCUACCCCAGAAGAACAAAACUACUUGGAGGGAAAGGAUAUCUGUCAAAAAUAGUGUGACCAAGGAGCCCAUGGCACCUGUGCAGAUUCUUUUAACUGGAUGUUGCAAAAAAUAAUUGAAGAACAGAAUAUAUUUUCGUAAUUGAAAGAUCUGGCUGAAGACUUGAGAUUAUUCCAACCAUGCACAGUGUGAGCAGCUCAGAGACUCCCUGGCUAAAAAUAAUGACACAUCUGAGACCUGUGAAAGAACCUGAUCAGCCACGGCCUUGGCAGGUAACACCUGACCAAAGCCGAGACAUCAUUGCUUCUGUUCAGUGCAUCUUGGACAGAGAAAAUUGUUUUGUGAGGGAGGUGGACAGAUACCUGAGGCACAAUGAUUUCCUAAAUCUGAGAAAGAAGGAGAUCGUGUACAAGGAAUGGCUUAAGGAUGUUUUAGAGCCGGUGCUGCAGAAAAUUGAGGACGAAAUGGGCAGCCAGUCAAUCGAAGAAAUGCAGAAAAGGAAACAAGAACAAUUGUCUCAAUAUUUAAACUACUGUAACAAGAAGGGCUACGUGUUUUUGGACUAUUUUGACCCAUCAGAGUAUGAUCCAUUCUCCCAGAAGACGUGCACAGACUGCUGGAAGGUGUGAGAAUGAAAGUCAUCAAUCACCACAAUGACAGCGAGAGCCAAUGAUGUCACCUGUCCCCCAGCUGACCAGAGCAGCAAGCACAGCCAUCAGAAGGUACACUUUAGGUUACAUCUCCUGCCAAAGCAAGUGGUAACAGGCCAGGUCUUCUGGCAAGCUGCAAUAAACUUACUGUCUUGAACGUGGUUCUGAAAUGUUGUUACUCAGCAGCCAAAGAAAUGUCUGGGAUGCUGCUUCUGUUGUUGCCAGCUCCAGUUCAUGCUCUACAAGCCAAAAUCUGCUGUUUUAGAUUUAACUUAGGCUCAGCUCAACAAAAACAGUGCUGGUGUUCUCUCCUGAACACAGUGUACAAGCAGUAAAUCAAACUUUUAACAUACAUUCUGAGAAAGCAGGAAAUAAGUAGGGGAGGGGAGAUGGGAAGUGCUUUUCAGAGAGUCUGUGCUGAGCAGCAGCUGAGCCAGUGCCCCACAAACCAGUCUCUCUCCCGUUCCAGUGUGGUCCCAUCUCCCCCCUGGUCUGGCUGCACAGCAACUCUGGUCUCAAAGCCUGGAAAGAGAAAAACAGAAUUUCCUCUAUUCUCCAAUCACUGUACAGACAUAAUCUCUCAAGAGUUGCCAAUAUUGAGUUUUAUUUAGGAUUAGAAAUACUGAACCACAGAAAACUGUUAAAAGUAACAGAGGUUGACUCAGUAAGGAGGGUGCACAGAUGGUGACUGCAUGGGAAACUGCCAGAGUUCAGGAGGAAUUGCUGCACCCGCGGAAAGGGCUGCUCAAGGAGGCAGUAAAAUGGUUACAAUGUAUCAAACAUUCUAUAAACAAACUUUUUUUUUUUUUAACCAUCCCUGAUUUGGUGCCAAGAGAAAGCUUUUGCUUUCAACCAGCUCUUUUUACAGGUUUGUGUUGGGGUGUAGUUCCCCCCAAGCAAACUUUUUAAACUUGUAAUAAACAUUUCUUGAACGAA
RNA transcript from Pipra filicauda (Wire-tailed manakin), 1791 nucleotides. It is a transcript of the gene named family with sequence similarity 228 member B, with no coding region annotated. Lineage: Eukaryota; Metazoa; Chordata; Aves; Passeriformes; Pipridae. The record is from RefSeq and is a predicted model, not a curated record. The transcript has 8 exons.